Molecule: ribosomal RNA, 206 nt
Filed under: uncultured Acinetobacter sp.
Lineage: Bacteria; Pseudomonadati; Pseudomonadota; Gammaproteobacteria; Moraxellales; Moraxellaceae
Description: partial 16S ribosomal RNA
Rfam family: Bacterial small subunit ribosomal RNA
Source: RNAcentral
ACGGGGGGACUCCUACGGGAGGCAGCAGUGGGGAAUAUUGGACAAUGGGCGAAAGCCUGAUCCAGCCAUGCCGCGUGUGUGAAGAAGGCCUUUUGGUUGUAAAGCACUUUAAGCGAGGAGGAGGCUACUUAGAUUAAUACUCUAGGAUAGUGGACGUUACUCGCAGAAUAAGCACCGGCUAACUCUGUGCCAGCAGCCGCGGUAAU